UUAGAUGGUAAAGCGCCUUUCUAGUAAGCAGGAGAUCACGAGUUCGAGUCUCGUUGGGACCU
Molecule: transfer RNA, 62 nt
Filed under: Daphnia magna
Lineage: Eukaryota; Metazoa; Arthropoda; Branchiopoda; Diplostraca; Daphniidae
Rfam family: tRNA
About the family: Transfer RNA (tRNA) molecules are approximately 80 nucleotides in length.
Source: Rfam by way of RNAcentral